Araneus ventricosus is the source of this 75-nucleotide non-coding RNA. The record is from the annotation of a GenBank genome assembly. NCBI's taxonomy places the organism in Eukaryota, Metazoa, Arthropoda, Arachnida, Araneae, Araneidae.
AUGCGUAUAGCUCAGUGGCAGAGCAUUCGACUGCACAGAGAUCGAGAGGUCCCCGGUUCAAACCUGGUGCCCCUC